UUUCUCUCAUAAAAAUGAUCCUGCUACGUCCUUCUUAUAUUCUUUCCACCAGAGUUCAGCAAGGGCAGGCUGAAGAUUAAAAUCUCUUUCUGUGCAGAAGGCUUGCAAUACUUCUGAUUUUUGAAGUGAUUAGAAUUUCAUUUCUCACUGUAAUCUCCCCACCUACCCUUUUCCUUUCUUUCUUUUCUAUUAGAGCCACUCGCCCUAUACAUAACAACUAUGGAUGGGGAGAAAAUGGAUCAGGAGAAGGAGACAUUCAUUAGAAAAAUCAUGCUUUCACCUGCUUUCCAGUCCUUGAAAAACAAGUGGUACAAAUUAAAAGCAACCAACAGAAAUGGAACAGAGUCCACAGAGGCACUCAUUGGCCAUAGGAAGUUUCUUCUGGACAAGGUGUGGUAGUGGAUGCUGUUUCCCCGUCCGCCCUCUGGUGUCGAAGCAAGAUUCAGUCAGCUUCUAUGCGUGGAAUGGGAGAUGCCACCUUGUCCCUUACCUCAGACUGCAAAAUGUCGUGGGUUGGCUCUGGACUCGGGCUUUGGGAUCCUGCAUGAAUAAAGCCUUUGAGCUCCAGAAGCUGUUAUUACUUCCAUCUAAUUCACCCAAGCUGCAAGAUCUGCUAUCAGUUCUUUGUAUAACUGAACAAAGCUAGAUGCUGUUGUAAGGGUUGGCCCAAAGAUGAACAUGAAUGAAAUGAAGAGGAGAAGCUGGGGCAGAUGAGGCAAUGGGUGUGGGUGAGCAUCUCAAUGGAGAGAGAGAGGAAGAGAGCAAAAGCCCAGGAAAAGGAAAGCCAGGCAAAACCAGGGCUCCUUACAAGUACGUCCUCCUACCUCUACCUUGCAAUCAGAGAAGUUGGCUCAAUUCCUGUUGCCUGAACAAGCUGGCUUGCUUCCAGAAUGAGCUACAUGGAUACCUAUUUGUGCACAAAGCCAUGUUUGUCGCUCCUGCAAGGUUUGGUUUCAACCAAGAAAGUGCAGUAUCCAUGUGCAAAGUGGCUUUCCAUCACCAAUGAACAACCACAGCCAAACACACCUGGGAUUAGAAAGGGGGGGGGGUUCCAGUUCACUGUGUGUGAGAGGCUGUCUAGACCAGCAAAACUACUAUUGGGCUAUAUAUUUCAGACUGGUGCUCAUUAUUCGCACCACUACUCUUUUGGUCC
Long non-coding RNA from Podarcis raffonei (Aeolian wall lizard), 1153 nucleotides. RefSeq lists it as uncharacterized. The transcript has 6 exons. Lineage: Eukaryota; Metazoa; Chordata; Lepidosauria; Squamata; Lacertidae. The record is from RefSeq and is a predicted model, not a curated record.